UUUAUGGAGAGUUUGAUCCUGGCUCAGGAUGAACGCUGGCGGCGUGCCUAAUACAUGCAAGUCGAGCGAACGGACGAGAAGCUUGCUUCUCUGAUGUUAGCGGCGGACGGGUGAGUAACACGUGGAUAACCUACCUAUAAGACUGGGAUAACUUCGGGAAACCGGAGCUAAUACCGGAUAAUAUUUUGAACCGCAUGGUUCAAAAGUGAAAGACGGUCUUGCUGUCACUUAUAGAUGGAUCCGCGCUGCAUUAGCUAGUUGGUAAGGUAACGGCUUACCAAGGCAACGAUGCAUAGCCGACCUGAGAGGGUGAUCGGCCACACUGGAACUGAGACACGGUCCAGACUCCUACGGGAGGCAGCAGUAGGGAAUCUUCCGCAAUGGGCGAAAGCCUGACGGAGCAACGCCGCGUGAGUGAUGAAGGUCUUCGGAUCGUAAAACUCUGUUAUUAGGGAAGAACAUAUGUGUAAGUAA
This 474-nucleotide ribosomal RNA is filed under the name Staphylococcus aureus. RNAcentral describes it as "bacterial SSU rRNA". It matches the Rfam family "Bacterial small subunit ribosomal RNA", at positions 1 to 464 of the family's 1533-position model. The record is from RNAcentral. Lineage: Bacteria; Bacillati; Bacillota; Bacilli; Caryophanales; Staphylococcaceae.